CCUACGGGUGGCAGCAGUGAGGAAUAUUGGUCAAUGGACGAGAGUCUGAACCAGCCAAGUAGCGUGAAGGAUGACUGCCCUAUGGGUUGUAAACCUCUUUUGUCGGAGAACAAAACCCGGGACGUGUCCCGGCCUGCGUGUAUCCGACGAAAAAGCAUCGGCUAACUCCGUGCCAGCAGCCGCGGUAAUACGGAGGAGGCGAGCGUUAUCCGGAUUUAUUGGGUUUAAAGGGUGCGUAGGCGGUCCGUUAAGUCAGCGGUAAAAUUGCGGGGCUCAACCCCGUCGAGCCGUUGAAACUGGCAGACUUGAGUUGGCGAGAAGUACGCGGAAUGCGCGGUGUAGCGGUGAAAUGCAUAGAUAUCGCGCAGAACUCCGAUUGCGAAGGCAGCGUACCGGCGCCAGACUGACGCUGAGGCACGAAAGCGUGGGGAUCGAACAGGAUUAGAUACCCCUGUAGUC
Molecule: ribosomal RNA, 459 nt
Filed under: uncultured bacterium
Lineage: Bacteria
Description: partial 16S ribosomal RNA
Rfam family: Bacterial small subunit ribosomal RNA
Source: RNAcentral